UGAGGAAUAUUGGUCAAUGGGCGAGAGCCUGAACCAGCCAAGUAGCGUGCAGGAUGACGGCCCUAUGGGUUGUAAACUGCUUUUAUAGAGGGAUAAAGUGAGAGUACGUGUACCGUUUUGUCAGGUACCG
This 130-nucleotide ribosomal RNA is filed under the name uncultured bacterium. RNAcentral describes it as "partial 16S ribosomal RNA". It matches the Rfam family "Bacterial small subunit ribosomal RNA", at positions 355 to 483 of the family's 1533-position model. The record is from RNAcentral.